AUAUAUAUAUAUAUAUAUAGGUGAUGCCCUAAUCGACUAUCUCAAGCUCCAUAUCUAGAUCAGUACUCUAUUUUCCCCCCAUUAAUUUCCAAGAGGGAAAAAUGUGUCAUAUUUCUGAGAUGAUUAGUUUAUGGUGCCAUGUGAAUUAUGAUUAUUUGAAUGAUGGUAAUUCACAUUUUGAUCGCGUUAAUGUACCGGCUGCAUGGAUGGAAGGCGAUGACGACGACCACGAUGGUGAUUAUGAUUGUAUGUCAACAGCUUGCUUAUCAUAAUAUCCUAACUUUCCAUUUCCAAACCCUAAAACCCUAGUUAUUUCAUGGCUACAUAUUGUAAUAGUUUUUUGGGUAAUUUAUUAAGUCCUCCGAUAUAUCAUUCAGCCGCUUAAUUAGUUAGCUUUUCCUCCUAUCUUUUUAAGUGUACGUGGCAAAACAUUAUAAUGAAUAACUUCUUCUUUUUAUAACACCCAAAAAGAAUGCAUGCUAAUGUGUUCAUUUAAGAAAUGAUGGUACGUAGAUUAAUAUUCAAUUAAAACCAUUACAGCGUGGGGGAUUUUCAGUGACAAUGGUAUUUAAUUGAGAAUUUUUUUAAUUAAUUACUCGAGUAUAUAUACAUACAUAUAUAUGUAUGUAUGUAUGCUUCGGAGCUAUUUUUUAGACACAUAUAUGCAUGUUAACUGAAAAAUAAUUUAAUUGCGGUGACUAGAACACUAGCUGAUUAAUUCUCUUGGCCCAUCAAAUCAGGAGAAUAAAUGGUCUUAAUGUUACAAAAACGUGUAUAUAUACCACUAAUUAAUUAAGGUAAUUGUUCAAUUUAGUCAUGUACGUAUGUACCGUACGUACGUACGUACCUGUGUUGAUUUAUUUAGACAGACAAUGCAUCUACCCGUACAAAGUCAGUCUAUUUCUUUAGUUUGAACCCAAGUGAUCGAGACACCUAGCUAGCUAGUGGUAUAUAUUUAAUUAUGUUUUCGGUCCAUAUAAUGUAGUACAUGUAUUUGUGUGUGUAAAAAAAUUGUACAUUGCUAAAAUUAGUGUUUUGUAUUGAUUGAGGAGAGAAAUUUAUAAAAAGUACAUAAUUGAUUGAUGAAUUAAAGAAGGAAGAAGAACAUGUGAAUGAUUACUACAAUGACACGUGACAGAAUUCUUAGAAUUCGAAAAACUUGUUAGGGUAAUAAGGAUUCAGAGAGUUUUCUUGUUUCGGGUUGAGAGAGAAUGUUAAAGUCUCCUAAUCCUCCAAAAGGUUCAACAGUCCAAAGUUUGGUCCCCAUUCAUAUAUAGAAUGGAAGGAGUAUUUAUAGAAUUUUCUGAAACUUAAGUGGUCACAUAUUUUUAGGAAAAUUCCAGAAAUACCCUUUAAUCAUUAGAAUAAUGCUCAUAUUGUCAUAUCAUUCUAGCCACCAAUCCAAUCUCUCAAUCAAUUUCCAAAACGAGCCGUCUCCACGAGCCUUCUGCCUCAGGACACAUAGAGGUUUCUCUUGUGUCUAGCAUCUUUAUUUUUAAUUUUUUUCAUUUUUAUUUAAUUAAGUCAUGCGAACCCUAAUUUAUAUAUUUAAUGAGUUCGUAAAAUUCUAAUUAUAUUUUUAAUUCAAUUAAGUCAUAUAAACCUUAAUUUACACUUAGCGCACAAUGUGUAAUCAAGAAGUGGUCACAAACCAUAAUUAAUGGUUAAAACAUUUGUAGAAGAUCCGGUCUCAGCUAGACCUGGCAAAGAUGGUCCAGGCUCGCGGUCCGGCCCGGUCUGCCUGUCAAAAAUCGAGUUUUGGGUCGAAGUUUUCUAGCUCGCCAAAACUCGGGCCUUUUUGGCCCGGCCCGUGGAGGCCGGCUCAACCAAGUGGCCCGUGAUUUUUUUUUUUUAAAAUAAAAUGUUACUACUUGUGGAUUGUGAGACUUGAACACAAAACUUGUAAAUAAAUAAGAGUUCAAACCAACUAAGUUACAACAAUUAUUUGUUUUUAUUGCAAUCUUCAAUAUAUUUUAACUAUAAUUGAAAAUUAUAAUUAAGAUAUGUAGUUAAUGUAGAUAAUUAAUUAAUAAUACUAAUUUAUAAUACUAUUAAAAUUUUAAUUGAUUGAGAUAUGUAGUUAAUAAUUUAAAAGUAUAAAAUUAUUAAACUAACAAAUAACAAUUGUAGUACAUUUGGAAAGUAAAUCAAUCAUUAAUUCAUUAUCCAUUAAUUAUGCAUUCCCCCUACUUAUUUGGAAAGUAAAUCAAUCAAUAUCCCAAAUCAUGCCUUUAGAAUAAUAUCUAAAAUUAUAAUACUAUUAAAAUUUUAAUUGAUUGAGAUAUGUAGUUAAUUUAAGUAAUUAGAAUUAUUGUUUAUUAUAAAUUAUAAAUUAUUUUAUUAUUUUUAAUAUUUAUUAUUAUUACUAUUUUUGGUGUAUCAAGAUUUUGCAAAAAAAAAAAAUAUAAAAAAAAGCCCGCGGACCGACCCGACUCAGACCUAACAAAUCUAGCCUGCCAAUACCCGGACCUUUUCGGCCCGACUUGCGCUCGACCAGGCCCAACCCAACCCAACCCGCCCGUUUUCCAGGUUUAGUCCCAACCAACCUACUCCGUAAAAAUAUAAAGCCAACUUACGCGAUUACUUUUGAAUUUUCAUUUGUCUACCAGCAGCCAAAAGGGCGAAAUUUACAUCUUUACCACUUGUUACUAAUUGCCUACUAAUUAGUACUCCUUCCGUCCCACGAUAAAAGUUUUGGUUGAUUUUUUGUACUUAUUAAAAAAGAUAAUAAAAUGACAAAGUUGUCCAUAUUUAAUUGCAUAAUUUUUUACACAUUACUAAUAUAGAGAAUAUAAAUAUAACAAUUAAUAAUAAGGGUAUAAUAUGCAAAUUAUUGUAAAAAAUAGAUUAUUUAAGAUAAGUAGACAUUUAACUUGGGACUACCUAAAAUAGUAAUAAGGACUUUUAUAAUGGGACAUAGGGAGUAUAUUACAAUAAUUUGGAUCAAAUCUCAAAUUUUGAAUAAAUUUUAGGUCAAAUUUUAAGUUCGAAUCGAAUUAAAUUUAUUAAAACAAGAUUUUAAACCACUAAUUUAAUAAUAUCUUAAUGUGUCAUCUUAGCCCACAUAAUAAAUUUUUGGAUCAAACUUUAAGUCCGAAUUAAAUUAAAUUCAUCUAAAUAGGGUCUUUUGGUCAUCUUAGCUCAUCACAUACUCACCUAAAAGAUUAUGAUUGAAUGUACUAUUGUUAGUAAUUUUAUUCCUUAUAUAUACAUAAUUUUUUUCCAUAUCUUUCAAUAUAGAACUGAAGUGUUACAUAUAUUCUCUUGGUUCCAAACUUAAAUACAUUUGCAAGUUAACGAUUUAAGUAAAAAAAAUACUUUUCUAAUUUUAUCUGCUGACAUAAUAAUACUCCAUCAAUUAAGAAUAAAAAUAAAAUUUUAUAUCACUUUAUAGUCUAAAUAAAGAAAAUAUAUAUUUUUAAUUUUGAAGUGGACAAAUAAAAAAAUAGAUCUUUAAUUUUGAAACAUUGUUAUAAUUUACAUGGAAGUGAAUUUCCGGCGUGGCAUAGCCAGGUACACGUUACCAGCAUUGGGCCAUCCACACUCCCUACACAUCAGUCCACGCUCCUUUAGUGGGCUAACUUGUGUGAAAACAAAGUUCAACACAUAUAUGGGUAUGACCUCAAAUUCCCAUUAAUUCAAUAUCAACCCAAAACAUCAAAAAACCCUAGCUAGUUUUUCAAGGCAACACUCACUAUAUAUUUCCAAGAGAAAAAAUGUCUCUUAAUUUAUCAAAGAGUAACUCUGGAUUAUGGUGCAUGCAAGGGGCGAGCAGAAGGAGAUGAAGAUGAUGACGGAUAUGAGUAUAUAUGUCCCGGCUGCGUGUAUACAAGGUGGAUGUGGCGGCGACGACGACGAUGAUGAUGGUGAUUAUGACUAUGCUCCCGCGGCAUCCUUGGAGGGCGAUGACGAUGAUGAUGGUGGUUAUGAUUAUGCUCCUGCUGCAUGAUUAAUGGCUUAGAUUAAUUUUCAGUACCACUGCUACAUCUUAUCUAGACAGACUUCAAUGCUGACAGUACUAUGAUAUUUAACACAGGCGGCGUAAAAUGAAAAGGACAAAAAAGAAGUUUUUUUUAUUUUGCCAAAUCCCUAUUUUUUGUUGAGUGUAAAGUCUUGGUAUUAGUUGAAGGUUCUUGAUGAUGCAGUGGUGUCUCAGAGAUAAUCAUAUAUUAGGGGGUGCAGUGAUAUAAUGUCAGUUAUGCUGUAUUGAUUUAUAGAUAUUGGUCACUUGCUAUAUAUUAUAUUGCAAAUUAAUGAAUUAAAUUAUUAAAUCCUUUGAUUCAGUUGGGGAAAAACCAUGACAAUAGUCAAUAUGUAUUCAUUUUCCUAAGAAAGAUGACGAGCAACCGAU
RNAcentral lists this long non-coding RNA (4351 nucleotides) under Panax ginseng (ginseng). RNAcentral's name for it is "long non-coding RNA (PGIN_LNC018147)". Lineage: Eukaryota; Viridiplantae; Streptophyta; Magnoliopsida; Apiales; Araliaceae. The record is from RNAcentral.